Molecule: transfer RNA, 72 nt
Filed under: bacterium
Lineage: Bacteria
Description: tRNA-Glu
Rfam family: tRNA
About the family: Transfer RNA (tRNA) molecules are approximately 80 nucleotides in length.
Source: RNAcentral
GGUCCUAUCGUCUAAUGGUUAGGACGGCUUUCUUUCAAGAAGCAAACCCGGGUUCGAUUCCCGGUAGGACCG